CGCUGCGCUGGGAGUGAGAGGGGGUCAGGAUUUCCCCGCUGCCGUUUGUGACCCCGGGGGAUUUCUCAGGGUUCCGAAAACAACACAGCCCUGGCCGGGAGGGAUACGGGCCGGAGGAUGCCAGAUGUUUUGAAUUCUUUGAAAUCUCUAAGCAUCUAGAAAAAAUAAUCAUGCGGAGAGCCGGUUGGUGGCUUCCCACAGUGAAAGUGCUGGCCGUGCUCUGCUCCCCCAGCACCUGACACAGCAGUGUGCCUGUGGAAAAUGCUCGAGGGACAGCAAAUGAACGAAGCAUUCGAAGAUGUGUUGAACCACGUUUGAAC
This 320-nucleotide long non-coding RNA is filed under the name Zalophus californianus (California sea lion). Its description in RNAcentral is "lncRNA (ENSZCAG00015010591.1)". Lineage: Eukaryota; Metazoa; Chordata; Mammalia; Carnivora; Otariidae. The record is from RNAcentral.